Molecule: non-coding RNA, 58 nt
Organism: Brassica napus (rape)
Lineage: Eukaryota; Viridiplantae; Streptophyta; Magnoliopsida; Brassicales; Brassicaceae
Source: Rfam
AUAGCUUGGUGGCAGAGCAUUUGACUGCAGAUCAAGAGGUCACCGGUCCGAACCGGUU